UACGUAGGGGGCAAGCGUUGUCCGGAUUUACUGGGUGUAAAGGGCGCGCAGGCGGAAUGGAAAGUCAGUGGUGAAAUCCUACAGCUUAACUGUAGAACUGCCUUUGAUACUUUCAUUCUUGAGUUCGGGAGAGAGAGACGGAAUUCCAGGUGUAGUGGUGAAAUACGUAGAUAUCUGGAAGAACACCAGUUGCGAAGGCGGUCUCUUGGUCCGAUACUGACGCUGAGGCGCGAAAGCGUGGGGAGCAAACAGGAUUAGAAACCUGGUAGUCC
Molecule: ribosomal RNA, 272 nt
Filed under: uncultured prokaryote
Description: partial 16S ribosomal RNA
Rfam family: Bacterial small subunit ribosomal RNA
Source: RNAcentral